GGCCGUCGUCAGUUCGUACUGUGAAGCAUCCUGUUAAGUCAGGCAACGAGCCGAGACCCACGCCAACAGUUGCCAGCUCGUCCUCCCGGGGAUGGUGGGGGCACUGUUGGGACCGCCUCUGCUAAAGAGGAGGAAGGAAUGGGCAACGGUAGGUCAGCAUGCCCCGAAUUAUCUGGGCUACACGCGGGCCACAAUGGGUGGGACAAUGGGUAUCGACACCGAAAGGUGAAGGCAAUCUCCUAAACCCAUCCGUAGUUCGGAUUGUGGGCUGCAACUCGCCCACAUGAAGCUGGAAUCUGUAGUAAUCGUGUCUCAAAAUGGCACGGUGAAUAUGUCCCUGCUCCUU
Molecule: ribosomal RNA, 346 nt
Filed under: uncultured Methanomicrobiales archaeon
Lineage: Archaea; Methanobacteriati; Methanobacteriota; Methanomicrobia; Methanomicrobiales
Description: bacterial SSU rRNA
Rfam family: Archaeal small subunit ribosomal RNA
Source: RNAcentral